Molecule: ribosomal RNA, 787 nt
Filed under: uncultured Chloroflexota bacterium
Lineage: Bacteria; Bacillati; Chloroflexota
Description: bacterial SSU rRNA
Rfam family: Bacterial small subunit ribosomal RNA
Source: RNAcentral
AGAGUUUGAUCAUGGCUCAGAGCGAACGCUGGCGGCGUACUUAACACAUGCAAGUCGAACGAGGAGCUUCACUGUAGCAAUACAGUGGAGCUUCUAGUGGCGUACGGGUGAGUAACACGUGGGCAACCUGCCCUUGAGUCCGGGAUACCCUCUCGAAAGGGAGGCUAAUACUGGAUACGUUCUCCGGAUCGCGAGAUCUGGAGAGGAAAGGUGGCGCAAGCUGCCGCUCUUGGAGGGGCGUGCGGCCCAUCAGGUUGUUGGCGGGGUAAUGGCCCACCAAGCCGAUGACGGGUCGCUGGUCUGUGAGGACGAUCAGCCAGACUGGGACUGAGAAACGGCCCAGACACCUACGGGUGGCAGCAGCAAGGAAUCUUCGGCACUGGGCGCAAGCCUGACCGAGCAACGCCGCGUGGAGGACGACAGCCUUCGGGUUGUAAACUCCUUUCGCGGGGGACGAUACGGACGGUACCCCGAGAAGCAGCCCCGGCUAACUCUGUGCCAGCAGCCGCGGUAAGACAGGGGGGGCAAGCGUUGUCCGGAUUUACUGGGCGUACAGCGCGCGUAGGCGGCUGGUGACGUGCCGUGUGACAGGCGGGGGCUCAACCCCCGACGGCCAUGGUAGACGCGCCGGCUAGAGGCAGGGAGAGGGAUGUGGAAUACCCGGUGGAGCGGUGAAAUGCGUAGAGAUCGGGUGGAACACCAGGGGCGCAGGCGGCAUCCUGGCCCUGUACUGACGCUGAGGCGCGAGAGCGUGGGGAGCGAACUGGAUUAGAUACCCCGGUAGUCC